Molecule: small nuclear RNA, 135 nt
Organism: Chelonoidis abingdonii (Abingdon island giant tortoise)
Lineage: Eukaryota; Metazoa; Chordata; Testudines; Testudinidae
Gene: U4
Rfam family: U4 spliceosomal RNA
About the family: U4 small nuclear RNA (U4 snRNA) is a component of the major U2-dependent spliceosome. The structure of U4 snRNA from yeast and human has been reported.
Source: Ensembl
UUCGUACAGUAGUGGCAGUCUCAUAACCAAUGAAGUUAAUCUGAGGUGUGAUUAUUGCUAGUUGAAAACUUAUCCUUAGAUGGUACUUCCAGAAAUGAUGUCACACAAUAUGGCUGUUAGGCAAGCCACAGGGCU